Brachypodium distachyon (stiff brome) is the source of this 82-nucleotide non-coding RNA. The record is from RefSeq and is marked provisional. Lineage: Eukaryota; Viridiplantae; Streptophyta; Magnoliopsida; Poales; Poaceae.
UCGUCUCCCUCGUCGACGCGGCAGCUCAGAAGGCGCGCGACGUGCCUGCGCGUGAGAUGCCGUGUCGGCGGGGACGAGGACC